UAAAACUAUUCUUUUUACUUUUAAUUUAAUAAGACACAUGAAUUGAGGAGAUUAUGGAAUGCAUUAUGAUUUACAAUGCCUGCUGGCAUUUUUAUGUUCUCAGCUGUUCCUUUGCACCAUUGAUUACGUAAAGCCUAAACUGUGUAAUUAAGGGACCGUCCCACUAAUGUGUUCUGGUGGAUUUAUGGCCCCCAGGUCAUCGACGAUCUGAGCACUUUGUGUAUUGGACCAUUAAUUUCAAAUGCAUACUAACAUAGGCAAACACAUUGGCAUUAAGGAGAAUCUAUAAGAAGAAGCUAUUUCAAAUUCAGGAGGUAGCUUUCACCUGAUUUUAAUUUACCAAAACAAUUUAAAAACCUGAUUACCAGAAAUCCUAAUUAACUAGAAAUUUUUUCCUCCAGAGUCCUUUUUUAGGAGAAAAUGGGAAAUUUGAAGAAAAGAAAUUAAUAACAAGGGGUCUAGAUAUUU
RNAcentral lists this long non-coding RNA (468 nucleotides) under Bos taurus (domestic cattle). RNAcentral's name for it is "long non-coding RNA NONBTAT013677". The record is from RNAcentral. Lineage: Eukaryota; Metazoa; Chordata; Mammalia; Artiodactyla; Bovidae.